RNAcentral lists this ribosomal RNA (406 nucleotides) under uncultured bacterium. RNAcentral's name for it is "partial 16S ribosomal RNA". It matches the Rfam family "Bacterial small subunit ribosomal RNA", at positions 29 to 526 of the family's 1533-position model. The record is from RNAcentral.
AUUGAACGCUGGCGGCAGGCCUAACACAUGCAAGUCGAGCGAGCGGCGGAAGGGUGAGUAAUGUCUGGGAAACUGCCUGAUGGCGGGGGAUAACUACUGGAAACGGUCGCUAAUACCGCAUCCCAUCAGAUGUGCCCAGAUGGGAGUAGCUGGUAGGUGGGGUAACGGCUAACCUAGGCGACGAUCCCUAGCUGGUCUGAGAGGAUGACCAGCCACACGGGAACUGGUACACGGUCCAGACUCCUACGGGAGGCAGCAGUGGGGAAUAUUGCACAAUGGGCGCAAGCCUGAUGCAGCCAUGCCGCGUGUGUGAAGAAGGCCUUCGGGUGUUAAAGCACUGUCAGCGGGGAGGCGUUACCCGCAGAAGAAGCACCGGCUAACUCCGUGCCAGCAGCCGCGGUAAUUC